UCAGACCUGUCAUUGGCAGGGCUGACCGAGCAGCAAUGUGCAAGUCCAUGGCAGGUGGGGACAGAAGUGGUGCAACCAGUCUGCUCAGAGCCAGCGAGGCCAGCAAAACGAAGUCCUAGUUGAGAACUCUAUUCCAGGCCUGCUGGACUUGAGACAGGGCUGAUCUCAGACUUGUGUGCAGAGAAAAUGACCACCAUUACAAAAUUGGACAGCACAUGAUCGAGUACCUGUUUUUGCGCAUAAACCUUCUCCCUGUUGGUGGCUUGGGUCCCUGGGCCAUGCUGGCCUCCUGGCUAGUCCAGCAAGAAGGACUCGCCCUUGGCCGUGUGACAUACCCACAUCUGCAAACUGAUGGAUGGGAAAGUCUGAGGACACUUUCUUCUCUCUGUUGUCUACUUAUUUGGGGCCACUUCUAGGCUUUACCAUUUUUCCAACUGUGAUGGAAAAAAUGACAAAAGCUAAGCUGGUAGAAAAUCAAUUUAAUACUGUCAGUUAUGUUAUUUAAGAAUAAAUACAAGAACCCAUCUACUGUCAUUAUUUUGGGCUUUUUUUUUUGGUACUGGGGAUCAAACUCGGAAACUUGUGCUUGUGCAGCAGGCGGCAAAACCGCUGAGCUAAAUACCUGGCCCUAUUUUGGGCUUUUAAAUAGUUCUUUCCCUGGUUAGCGCUCAGUGCCCAGCAUUUCCGUCAUUAUUCAGCCACACAUAGUAUUACGAUAGUAAAGGUGUUAUGCAACUUAGUCAUCUAAAAAAAAUCUGAACAACUUGGUCAGACUUUUUUUUUUUGGUUUUUUUUGUAAUGCUGGAGAUUGAAUUCUGAGCUACAUCCUCAGCCUUAUUUAUUUAUUUAUUUUUUAAAUUUUAAGACAGAGUAUCUUAGUUACUUUUCAUAUCGCUGAGACAAAAUACCCAACACCCUUAAGGGAGAAAAGGUUUACUUAGCAAACAGUUUAUAGAGGUUUCAGUCCAUAACUAGCUGGCUCCAAGGGAGGGUGGCACAGCAGACAGGCAUCACAGAGGAGAAACAGUCCAUGGCAGGCAGGCAGGAAGGCAGCAAAGCAACAAGGGAGGACCACAGUUCUUUUUAUCCCUUAUAUCUUUUCCAGGCUGCUUAGGAUGGGUAGCACUCAUACCUUUAAUGCUAGUGCCCUUGAGCCUAGCAUUGCACCAUGAAUCAAUCCCAGCAUCACACACCCUAGAUCCAGCCACCUCUGAAAAGCCCCACCUAUGAUGACAUGAGGCUUUGGAGGACAGCUAGACACAAGCUCUGACAUGGCGUCUCACUAAGUUGCUCAGACUAGCCUGGAACUUUCAAUCCUCCCGUCUCAGCUUCCUGGGUAACUGGGACUACUGGCAGUAAUAUUAUUUUAUAGGUUAGUUGAUCGCAUUGACUGACCAAAUCAGAGCCCCAAAGAAUGCUACAAAAGACGAAGCACACUUUGUUCUGGCUGGGGGAAGGAAGGGAGAGCCUGUAACACAGCUGGGUCACAGGAAAUCAACAUUGCAAGGUAGAUGCUCUGAAUUACUGUCAGCUCCAGAACAACCAGCUUACUUGCCACUGACCUGAGUACUCAAAUUUGAACCCUCUCUCACAGUCAUGGACAAGACUGGGCUCUGUGGAGUUCGUCUGCCUCUUGGUGUCCUGCCCCAGCCUGCUGUCCGAGUGCUGGGCUCCCAGUGGGCACUGCAGGUCAGUGACAGGGCGCAUCAUGGGAGUGCCUAGGAAGAUGCGUGAGCCUGGGGCUUCUCAUCUCCCGCUGGAAAAAAAAGCUACUACGCAGUGAUCAAAGCUCUUUCGGAAGGGGAAAUUGUCACCACAGUCGUCACGUGCCUGCCCUGCCCGAUGCAGAUGGCAGAAUUUAAUAAUCUCGAGCGACUCUGUGUAGGCCCAGCUCCCAGCAGAAGCGUCUGUUGUGGAUCGAGGAGAAGGAGUUUGGUAACAUUUUGCCCUUGGGGGUUGGUGUGAAGGGAAAUAUCACGGAAGUCUUUUUUAGCUUUGACUUCUGUGAUUCUAUGGAAACAAGGCAGCAGGAGUGGGAAUCCAGUGAGAGAGAAGAGCUAAGGCAGCUCGACUGGCUUUGAGGCUGAAGAAGGGAGGGAGAGAGGCAGAGGAACAAUAGGCUUUAUUGGGGACUCUCCUAGGCCACGCACUUUCAUCUCUGGGAUCUGAAGCAGGAACUUUUCAUUGGGCUGUUGGUUUGGGUCCGAGCAGGAGAGUUAUUGGUAGAGUUUGCAGAAGGGCCCUGGGCGGGAGAGAGAAAGGACGUCUGUGGUCCUAUUGUCUGGGCACCUCUGUUAAUAACACUUGAGCGUUUCCCCGCCCCACUUAGGACAAUGGGGCCAGAAGACAAACUUUAAUUCGAAUGGUGUUUUCUGUGUGCUGUAAUAAUGUGGUGGGAAACCUCAAAGGCUCAGGAAUUCCUUGCUGGGAUUGUGUGCGUGCGAAUCCCGAGCGUUAAGGCGCUGGCCCGUCUCCAUCUGCGACGGACGCCGAACGGCUGAGUCGAGCCGCGCUGAGCUCGCUCGUGGCAGAUGGCCAGACGGCUCUCGGAGUUCACAGCAUGUAUAUGGAUAUUUACAUAUACACAAACAUGCCCGCGGCAGCUGUCUGCCUGCCUCUCCCCGGCGAAAUGGGAGACGAGGUCCGGAGGUCAGCGGCCCCGGGCCACUGCUACUGUUCUUCCUGCGGUCCUGGGACAGUGACCAUCAAGGUGGAGACAGCGCAAGGCCAGCGUCUCCGCGGCCCCUGUUUACAAUCCUACUCUGAGCGUCUGAGAAGCCAUCUUUCACUUUUAGUUAUUUAUUCUCAUUCGAGGGACUGGGGAUUGAACACGGAGCCUUGUGUAUGUUAGACAAAUGCUACACCCUGACCCAGCCCAGCGUGCGUCACUCUUGGUUGGCAAUAAAUCGCACAGUAGGGGAGACAGACUGGAGAUGAGAGAGUCUAGUGCGAAAGGACGCUUAUUGAUCUCAGUGAAUUUGAGACUCCCAAGAACAUGGCCAGAUGCUGGGCCCAGCACCACCCUGGUUUGAUCUGAGGUUGGCUUUGUCUCCCUUACAUUCAUCUCCUUUCUUCCACACCGGCGGAGUUUGAUUUUAAAUUAUACGAUUAAAAAAUAAUACGUGACAAGGAGCUGUGGAGGAGAGGGACCUUUACCUAGGAUUGAAUAAAAAUGAGACAAAUUGACAAGAAUUUUGCCUAUAAAUGUAAUAUAAUCCACAUAGAUUUUGUGGUAGGAAAGAGUUUAAAGAUGGUUAGCAACCACUUGCUUGUCGAUGUCCUCCUCAACAAGCAUUUCAAAGCUGAUCAAGGAUGCUUACCUGGCAGAGUUCCUUUGGGGACUUCGCCGUGUGGAGGUGAUCACCCGGAUGCAGGGUCAGGGUACAGACACUGGCAUCUGGAAAUCUCUACUCAAUGAAUGCUGAACACGCUACCAUUUUUCCAAGCACACACAUAAUGUGCUGUAGUCUUUAGAUUUGUCUUUUCCCCUUGAGACUCUGAGUCACCCUCCACAUCUGGGAAUCCUGAGUAUUUAGUGAGUCCUAAGAACUCAGCUCUACUUCCAAAGCACAUGCAGAGGAAAAGCUGGAGAGUCCUAUUCAUUGCUCAGCACAACUGCUUCUGUGCCCAGGAGGAUGUCAUUGUCACCUGGAGGGGUGGCCAUGGCUGACUGGGCGUGACUCUUCUCUGCAGAGAAAGAGGGGCACCCAGCCUGCCUCUCCCGACUAUGCCCAAGUGAUAGAUCCUGAAUUACUCAGGCCCUAAGAUUACUGUCUGGCUCACAGGCACAUUCCCAGGGAUUUGUUCCAAGUGCUGCCUGUGCUAGCCAGGUGCAUCUAGGGUGUAAGGGUUGGGUGACGGCCUUUAGCAUCAUGCCCCUACUUUGCUGGGAGCAGUCCCUCCACAUGAACCUCAGGCCUCAACUGAUCACUGCCCACCAGUGCACAUUCUCUCUCCUUGCAAGGAAAUUUCCUGAUGGGGUCUAGACUCUCAACCAAGAGCCUCCUAGCCCAUGUGAACUGGUUCCCUGAUUUUCUGCAUUGGGAAGGCAGGGCCUAGGCUUCCCCUGGAAAUUGGCAUGUGCCCCCUUAGAUCUCCUCCCACCAAAGGGUACCUGGGAAGCCUUCGUGGGCCACAAAAGUAUCUCUUCUGGAUUUUUCUCAGCCUUUUGGGCACCCACCAGGUUUACAAUUGCUUGUGAAGCAGCAGCUCAAGCCAUUCCAUUCAUAGGAGUGAAAACACAGUUUCAUAUUUAUCAUUGGCUAUGCCGAGGGGAAGAGAGGUGGCCGAAUAUCCCUUUAAACACAUUUCCUUUCUCAGUUCCCUGUCCUGGGCAUAAAGAACAAAGUAGAACCACGCUAAUGAGAAACGGCAUUUGGAGAGGACUGUCUUUGAGCUUGUCCACUGCGUCCCGAAAUUCUACGCAGGCAGACGGCUCACCCUUAGCUGAGCAGGCUCCUUUCUCCUGGUGCACACCCGCCAGCCCUCACCAUCUGUCACCGUCCUGUCCUGCCAUCUCCAGGGUCGGCUUAAAUCACUGCUGUCUUGGGGGAGCCAUACGAAGCCUUUUGUCUCCCAUGAACUGGUCACGGCGCCUCUCUUUGCCCCUCUUAUGCUCGCCACUUAUUUGUGAGAUAAAUGUCAACUCUGUUCUUGUCUAGACACACUGGAAUAUACUUUCCUUGAAGAGAGAGCAUUGUUUGGCUCACCAAGUCCUCCCACCUGGCCUGAAUCAUACACCGUGCCUCUCACAGCUGGUGUCCAACAAAUGUUUGACUCAGUGAGCCGAGGGCAGAGCAGGGAGCAGUCAUAGGCACCAGAAAGGGAUCAUUGCUGUCUUCUGAGGGGACAUAGAGCAGCCUGGAGUCUCUCGAGCUGGUACCACAUCUGGCUUACUGGAGCCAACAUCAUGGAGGGACCCAGGAGCUGGAAGUCCUCUUCUUGACAAUAAUACCCUAUAUGGACAUGGGAAAGCAAGUCACAGUUGCAAUAACUACAACUGUAAUACCUACCAUGUCAGGGAUUUUAUUUCCAUAGCCUGAUUUUAUCCACCAAAAAAGGCUGAUCAGUAAGUAUUUCUAUUUCUGACUUUCAGAUGAAAUAGCUUAGAAUUUAUAGGUUGUAACUGCAGACCUGGGAUUC
Molecule: long non-coding RNA, 5142 nt
Organism: Heterocephalus glaber (naked mole-rat)
Lineage: Eukaryota; Metazoa; Chordata; Mammalia; Rodentia; Bathyergidae
Source: Ensembl